AAGCAGUGGACUUCAACUUGCGUGCUUUUGGGGACUUCUGAAAACUUCCAGGUGUGAAUCUGGACCCCUGCUUAGGCAACCGAAGCUGUAUGCGUAUGAUAAACCUCGCAGAGUUGACCCCUUACAUCCUGUGUUCCAUCUGCAAAGGUUACUUUAUUGAUGCUACAACUAUUACAGAAUGUCUGCACACCUUUUGUAAAAGCUGCAUAGUGAGACACUUCUACUAUAGCAACAGAUGUCCAAAAUGCAAUAUCGUUGUACAUCAAACACAGCCCCUUUAUAAUAUCAGACUGGACCGGCAACUGCAAGACAUAGUCUAUAAAUUAGUUGUCAAUUUGGAGGAAAGGGAGAAAAAACAAAUGCAUGACUUCUAUAAAGAAAGAGGAUUAGAAGUGCCCAAACCAGCUGUCCCACAGCCAGUUCCAGUGAGCAGAGGAAGACCUCGAAAAGUUCUGGGCUCUGUGUUCCGGAUCCCACCAGAACUUGACAUCUCCAUACUUCUGGAGUUCAUUGGAGCUAACGAAGGCACAGGGAAUUUUAAGCCUUUGGAAAAGAAGUUUGUGCGUGUUUCAGGGGAGGCAACAAUUGGACACGUGGAGAAAUUCCUCAGAAGAAAAAUGGAUCUGGACCCUACUUGUCAGGUGGACAUAAUAUGUGGUGAUCACUUGCUAGAACACUACCAGACACUGAGGGAAAUUCGUCAAGCCAUAGGAGAGAGUGCAGUACAGGACGGUUUACUUGUUCUGCACUAUGGCCUGGUAGUAUCUCCGCUAACUGUAACUUGAAGAUUGCUAGUAUAUCAGAAGGCAAAAGAAUCGGAGUCAUCAAGCUUCUUCACUGCUGUUUUUCACCAAAGAAGGCCAUCGUAUUUCCUGUGACAGGAAGCAAGUAAAAGGAACCACCUCGUACUGCUGUAUGCUUGUAAUUUAACGUCUGACUUUACCACUGUAAAAAAUUACAGUUUCUGGUAAAUCACAUGCCAGCUAAAAUGCAGAAGGCCAGGACUUCCUACUUCAUUCUUUCAGUGGCUUAAUGAGGAGGACUGAAGAUGCACUGCCUGUGAUAUUUUGUCACUUCUGGUCCUGAUGAUAGAAGACCUUCUGUAACAACACGCCGUCUAUGGGAUGGCAUCUCUGCCCUCAGGGGAGAUGAGCCAGCUUCGUGCUCUGGAAGUGAUGGAAGGGAGAUGGUCGAGCUGCCCACAUGAAUCUUCUAAUAUGCUGCAUGCUUAAUGGAGUGCACCAGGUGCCAGCCUGAGUGUUCAGGGAAACAUUAACAGUAGAAAAGCAAGUGGUGGGCACCUAGGAAAGAUUGAGAAAAACAGUGUGUUCCUGGGAGAGCUGCCUUGGAGCCCUUUUCACAGGGUGCUGGGAGGCAACCAGUCAUUCCAAGUCACCACGGUGUGCUCGGAGCACACUGCUUGCAGCAUUGCUUUUCUCUAGCUUGUGGUGACAGAAGCAGUUAUUAAAUGCUGAACCAUUGUGUCCUUUCUGCCAUAUACCUGGGACUGAAAGGCAAGAACUCCCCAGAUGAGAAGCUCAACACCCUUCACAAGAACUUGCAAUCUCCUUUUUCUUCCUCGCGGGACAUGGGAAAAUAUUUCACCUAUUGGUGGCAAUAAAAUAGCAGGUUAUUUAUGUGCAACGACAUACGGAACAGGACUGAAUGGUGGUGGUCUUCCUCUGUGUGAGCGGGUAAGCUGAACGCAGGGGCACCUGCAUUCUCUUUUCAGCUCUGUCCUUGACUUGCCGUAUGACCUUGACCACAUUUCUUCACUUCUCAGCUCUGUCCACCGAGUGCAACGAUUUCCAUAAAGCGCCGUGAAUGAAAAGCCCUAUGCUGCUGCUGGGUUUUUGAGGGCAGGCAGUUAACUGGUGACUACCGAGACCCCCCUUGUGAAUGCAGGUGGAACAGGACUAAGCAACCAAGUGUGAAGACUUUACUUUUACUUGUUUAAAAGUUUGCCAAGUGAUAAACAUCUGGGCUGAAUUUGUUGUGUUGCAGGUUGUUCCAGCUGGAAGUGGAUUGAUUUAGAUAUCUCUGGAGAAGUUCAACCAAAAGGAACAGAAAAAACUUGGGUUUAAGAAACAAGUAGUUGGUGAACAGUUUAAAAAAAAAAAAGUAAUGCUUGUUUCAUUCUGGGGUGUGGGGUUUUCUGGCUUUUACGCCUUUGUAUUUUGUUUGCCAAUGAGCGCACACUGAAGCUUGCCUCUGUGUUGAGGCAUUCAUAACUUUGCCCUCUGAAUGGGUUUUCUGGUGUCUAGUAAGGAAAGCUCAACUUUGUGAUCAAUGAAUAUGAUUCACCUAUACCUGCUUGCUUGAAACUUGGAGGAAUUUGGAAUCUUUGAGACCUUCAGGUUUCUCAAAUGUGGCGGAACUUAAGCUGAUGAGCAUAAAAAAAAAUAUUGGGGAAGGGUCUGGGGAACAAAGGGGGGACAUUCAGUCCCAGUAUGAUCCCAUCAUUAAGAAUCUAGUCUGAGAAUAUUUUGGCUUGCUGAAACAUUUUGGCUUGCUUCAAGCAUUGCCGGCCAUUCUUACUCAUACAGCUCUUGUGCCUCUUUGCUAGACUAGGAAUUUGCUAGUGAGGUGCCUUGUGCCUGAGGUUUGGGGGUUUUUUGCAUUUCCAUUGAAAAUUUCCUUAAACUUAACGAUGUUCUGAGCCUUGGUGCAAACGGUGGUUUUUUUCAGUCUGACCUCAGCUUUUCUGAAUGACAUCUCCAAACAGCUCGUUCUUCCAGACCGCACUCGGGUCUGGGCAUGUACGCUACCCCAGAGAAGGACCACGUGCGUGUCAGUGUGUUCACGAGGCUGCUCCAGGUGUGGGGAAGCCAGGAACCGGCGUCUCUGGGUGCAGGCAGCCAGCAGCUGCCUCUCUGCUCAAAGGCAAAGCAGCUAAGCUGGCCCUGCUGUGAUAGGAACAGACCCUGGUGCCUCACUUGUUUCAGAGCUGACGCUUACAGCGCUCCAAGAGCUUCGCUCCCAUCUAUGAGCAGCGAGUGGAUGUGUGCCUGGGGCUCUGGAAUUGCACUCUGAAAUGUUCUCCCUUCCACCUAAGCAGGUAUGUCUGUGUUUAGCGUGAGCACUGUUCCUUCUUUGUGUUACGGUGGACACAGCCCAGCUCCAGCAGGGUGGCCAGCUCCGGGCAGCAGUGUCCUCGGUGGUACAUCCUGCUUUAACAAGGAUAUAAUCGUUUAUCACAGAGUUGCAAGUUCCUCUCUGGUUUAGCUGGGUGAUUGCAGGGUUUGGGGUGAAGACCCCUGCACAGGCUGCACUGCCCUGCUGUAGGAGUACAUCCCCCCCGUCCCUGUAAUUGCAGACCCCAGCUCUGCAGCCCUGGCUCAGCUGGAAUCCACUGGGACAGAACAGGUCGAUGAGCAUUCUCCCACUGCGCCCCACGCAGCAGCGCCGUGUUUGCACGUUACGCUGCAUUUGCCGGGUGAUCCUUUCUCCCAUAGGCCUGCGAAGACUUGCGUGAAUGAGCUUGCAUUGCUCGCUCUGUUUUGGUAUAAACUUUGCUUUAAAGCGUCAGGCCCCACUGAUGGGGACAUCCGAUUGUUCAGAUGCAUCUGUUCGGCUGCUGGCGUUAGGGCUCUGCGUGGGUCAGUCACUCGGGGAAGAAGCUCUUCUCCUUGAAGGAGGUCUCUGUGCUAAGAGCUGGCAAGAGGAGAGCUGGAUGGGUCCAGCCAAAGGUGCUGGAAGAGACUUUGCUCUGAAUUGCCUAUUGAUUCCUUCUUGCUGAAUGACAGGGUUCUUCCCCAGUCUGGAAAAGGAAAUGUUUGCAUUCCUGACAAAUGAAAGUGUUUGUGGUUUUGUUUUUUUUUUUUCCCCUUUGGCUGCUUUUUCUUUGGCUUACCCUUUAAUUAAUUCCAGCAUCUGGACAAGCGUCAUUAGCAAAAUUUCUCUGUGUGCAGCGACUCUCUCUGUUUUUAAGGGACUGUACAUCUCGGUGCAGACCAUUAUUGCAGGAACCUCUGGUGGAGCUGAAGGACCCUUGGUUCCAGGGUCAUGAUGGGAACAAGGUUCUUCCAUCACUGGAGCAGCAGGAGCGUGACCCAGGCCCGCCCCAGCCAACAUCCCAGGCUGCAGAGACCAUCCCAUCUCACCUACGUGGCAAUGAAAUGAGCAGAGCCGGGCAGCCCCGAAGCACAGCUGCACAGGCUGGCAUAUCCAUCCAGGAAAAAAACCAACUGACCAGCCCUGUGGCGGGAGCUUGCACCCCUGCGUGGAGGCUGGAGCUCUCCCCAGCAUAAAGAUGAAGGCAACACAGCAUCGUGAGAAAUGGCCACUCUCUGCUUCUUCCCGAGCUGAUGGUGCUCUCGGUGUUCACAGCUGCCUUUUAUCUGAGAGGUCGAGGUUCUGCAGAGGUAUAAAUCUUUAAGCAUCUGCAGUGUGACUCACUCCUUUCCUCAGGCAGCCUUGGUGUUUAACCCAGUAAGAAAGAUGGGGGCCACAAAGGAGGAUUUAUUGCCUUGUUCCAGCUUAGUGCCUCUCUGGAGAAGCCUUCUGGUGCAUAUAAGCUGGCAGGUGAAAGGAGUCACCCUGAAGAAAAGAUAGCUGGAAAAGGAGGCCAGGAUGGAAAGACCUGGAGGUCAGCGUUGGUAACAUGCUGAGCCGGGCUUGUCCUUCUCUACCAUCUUCAUUCUCCUCCGAAAGGCAAGGAGUGUAAGGUCGUGGGUCUCCCUUAGGGUAAGAAGUGAGGGCACAAGCCCUCCUUGGCCCCACACCACGAUGCAUUUGGUGGGGAGCUCAGCCCUCUCGCCCAAUGGCAGCAGCCACCUGGGGGGCCCACAGGAGUUGAGCAGAUGGGGCUCACCCCACCUCAGUUGGGCAUUAGGCAGCCCCUUCUCUGAUCCUGAAAUGUGAGCACCAGGAAACGGCCAGAGCAAGCUGUGCCCAGGGGCUGUGCCCACUCUGGGACACCGGGGCCCUUGGCUGCCUUCUCCACGUGUGCCUACGGGGUCACUGCCCA
RNA transcript from Egretta garzetta (little egret), 4969 nucleotides. It is a transcript of the gene named polycomb group ring finger 6, with no coding region annotated. Lineage: Eukaryota; Metazoa; Chordata; Aves; Pelecaniformes; Ardeidae. The transcript is spliced from 14 exons. The record is from RefSeq and is a predicted model, not a curated record.